Molecule: unclassified non-coding RNA, 353 nt
Filed under: soil metagenome
Description: partial contains 5.8S ribosomal RNA, internal transcribed spacer 2, and large subunit ribosomal RNA
Rfam family: 5.8S ribosomal RNA (bases 1-120)
Source: RNAcentral
GAUGAAGAACGUAGCGAAAUGCGAUAAGUAAUGUGAAUUGCAGAAUUCCGUGAAUCAUCGAAUCUUUGAACGCACAUUGCGCCCCCUGGCAUUCCGGGGGGCAUGCCUGUCCGAGCGUCAUUUCUGCCCUCCAGCCCGGCUGGGUGUUGGGCGCUGUCCCCCCGGGGACACGCCCCAAAGGCAGUGGCGGCGCCGCGUCGGGUCCUCGAGCGUAUGGGGCUUUGUCACCCGCUCGGGACGGACUCGUCGGCGCUGGUCUUCCUCCAGGCGACCCUUCGGGGCUCGUCUUCCUUCGGUUGACCUCGGAUCAGGUAGGGUUACCCGCUGAACUUAAGCAUAUCAAUAAGCGGAGA